GUAGGUGGCAAGCGUUGUCCGGAAUUAUUGGGCGUAAAGCGCGCGCAGGCGGUUCUUUAAGUCUGAUGUGAAAGCCCACGGCUCAACCGUGGAGGGUCAUUGGAAACUGGAGAACUUGAGUACAGAAGAGGAAAGCGGAAUUCCACGUGUAGCGGUGAAAUGCGUAGAGAUGUGGAGGAACACCAGUGGCGAAGGCGGCUUUCUGGUCUGUAACUGACGCUGAGGCGCGAAAGCGUGGGGGAGCAAACAGGAUUAGAUACCCUGGUAGUCCACGCCGUAACGAUGAGUGCUAAGUGUUAGGGGGUUUCCGCCCCUUAGUGCUGCAGCUAACGCAUUAAGCACUCCGCCUGGGAGUACGGCCGCAAGGCUG
Molecule: ribosomal RNA, 370 nt
Filed under: uncultured organism
Description: partial 16S ribosomal RNA
Rfam family: Bacterial small subunit ribosomal RNA
Source: RNAcentral